RNAcentral lists this non-coding RNA (45 nucleotides) under Schistosoma margrebowiei. The record is from RNAcentral. Lineage: Eukaryota; Metazoa; Platyhelminthes; Trematoda; Strigeidida; Schistosomatidae.
AUCCAGCUGACGAGUUCCAAAUAGAACGAAACACACGUCAAUCAU